This 675-nucleotide long non-coding RNA is filed under the name Homo sapiens (human). RNAcentral describes it as "HSALNT0315560". Lineage: Eukaryota; Metazoa; Chordata; Mammalia; Primates; Hominidae. The record is from RNAcentral.
UGCUAGGAUGUUUGAGACAGAAGAUAGUUUGAGAGGCUGAGGAUGAAUUAAAAAGAAUGUUCCAGUUAACUGAAGUUUAAAAUCAUAUGGAUUAUCACUUACCUGAGAAAAUCAAUAGACAAAAAGCGAGUCCUCUCAAAAGAAUGGCUGUAAAUUCCAAAGGUGCAAUCAGUGGAGAAAGGGAGGUAAUCAUGGGAGAAGUCCAAGGCCCUGAAAUUAUAAUAUGAUGAAAAUCUAAUGGAGAUAGCCAAGCUGCAGGGCUGCACAGGAUCUGUGAUGAAGUCAUGUAAGAUUCAAGCCAUGGAGUUGGCAGUGUAAUUUUCUUAUAGCCCUUUUUUUCCUCCUAAAAUUUUGCUCUGAAACUCUUUAUGCCCUUUAAGCUGAUUUAAUCAUAAAUUUUCCAGGGUUAAUCUAUUCAGCCUGAAAGGUGAUCUUGUGCCUGUGACUUUAUUUUCAAAGAUGUCUCUAGAAAAAAAAAACAACUCAAUAAUAGGAUUAACUCAUUCAUUCAGUUGAUAUUCACUGAAUACUUACUAUUUAAGCACUGUUUUGGGCACUUGGAGAAGCAGAAGUUAAUAAACAAAAAUCCUAUCCUUAGAAAAAUCACAUUCUUGUUGGGGAGACAGACAAAAAGUUAGUAAGAAAGUUACAUUAGAUGGUGAUAAUAGAAUGGAG